This 424-nucleotide unclassified non-coding RNA is filed under the name Euphorbia herman-schwartzii. RNAcentral's name for it is "partial external transcribed spacer". Lineage: Eukaryota; Viridiplantae; Streptophyta; Magnoliopsida; Malpighiales; Euphorbiaceae. The record is from RNAcentral.
UAGCAUUCCUUUGUACCAUCCCCACCCGCAAGCAGCAAAAGGGCAAGCAUUUGCAGCAAACCCAAAGCCAUUAUACAGGAGAGACGGUCAUUCUUAUAUAGGGACAGCGAGAUCAUAGAGGAAACUCAAUCCCUCCACUCGCAAAGCAUUCUGCAUCCGAGAGCACAAGCAACUUCCCAUGUGCCAAAGUAGCCAAAAAAAAGGCAUACCAGGUACACGACAGCUGCUAUAUGGUUCAUCCAAUCUCGCCUUUAACGGGGAAAAGAUGAAUAGGUUUAAGCAACAAAUUAGAUUCCGCUAUGUGGGUAUGCAACACAGAAACCCAUCCUUGCCCAACAUAGCAACAUGCCUUCAGGACAUCACUGAGUGGCCUCAAGGUAGACAGUUCGAUGCACAAGCAUGGAGCCUGCCAACCCUAACAGCC